Molecule: ribosomal RNA, 745 nt
Filed under: uncultured bacterium
Lineage: Bacteria
Description: bacterial SSU rRNA
Rfam family: Bacterial small subunit ribosomal RNA
Source: RNAcentral
CGAAGCAAUUUCUCACGAUCCCUUCGGGGUGACGAGUUAUUGACUGAGUGGCGGACGGGUGAGUAACGCGUGGGUAACCUACCUUGUACAGGGGGACAACAGUUGGAAACGACUGCUAAUACCGCAUAAGCGCACAGCAUCGUAUGAUGCAGUGUGAAAAGUUUUUUCGGUACAAGAUGGACCCGCGUCUGAUUAGCUAGUUGGUGAGGUAACGGCCCACCAAGGCGACGAUCAGUAGCCGACCUGAGAGGGUGACCGGCCACAUUGGGACUGAGACACGGCCCAAACUCCUACGGGAGGCAGCAGUGGGGAAUAUUGCACAAUGGGCGCAAGCCUGAUGCAGCGACGCCGCGUGAGCGAAGAAGUAUUUCGGUAUGUAAAGCUCUAUCAGCAGGGAAGAUAAUGACGGUACCUGACUAAGAAGCACCGGCUAAAUACGUGCCAGCAGCCGCGGUAAUACGUAUGGUGCAAGCGUUAUCCGGAUUUACUGGGUGUAAAGGGAGCGUAGGCGGUUUUACAAGUCUGAUGUGAAAGCCCGGGGCUCAACUCCGGUAUUGCAUUGGAAACUGUAGAACUAGAGUGUCGGAGGGGUAAGUGGAAUUCCUAGUGUAGCGGUGAAAUGCGUAGAUAUUAGGAGGAACACCAGUGGCGAAGGCGGCUUACUGGACGAUUACUGACGCUGAGGCUCGAAAGCGUGGGGAGCAAACAGGAUUAGAUACCCUGGUAGUCCACGCCGUAAACGAUG